Mirounga angustirostris (Northern elephant seal) is the source of this 1484-nucleotide long non-coding RNA. RefSeq lists it as uncharacterized. The record is from RefSeq and is a predicted model, not a curated record. Lineage: Eukaryota; Metazoa; Chordata; Mammalia; Carnivora; Phocidae. The transcript is spliced from 6 exons.
CGGGGAUGGGUGGGGCUCGGGGUGGGGUGGAGGUUUGAGAGGCGAUUGGAUUUUCAAAAUCAAUCAUUAUCUGUUCUUUCUCUUCUUUAUCAGUAGCCAGGAAGUACCUGAUCAGCCGCUUAGAAUUGGAGCAGUUUCUGUGUAUUCCAGCUCAUUUAGGAAAAAACGUUUUGGGCUUACAAACCUGAGAAUUAAGCUGGCUUUCUUCUUUCUUUCUCUUUCUUUUCUUUCUUUCUUUCUUUCUUUCUUUCUUUCUUUCUUUCUUUCUUUCUUUCUUUCUUUCUUUCUUUCUUUCCUUCUUUCUUCUUUCUUCUUGCUUGCUUGCUUCUUUCUCUCUCUUUCUUUCAAGAUUUAUGUGUUUAUUUUAUUUAUUUAUUUUUUUAAAAGAUUUUAUUUAUUUAUUUGAGACAGAGAGAAUGAGAGACAGAGAGCAUGAGAGGGAGGAGGGUCAGAGGGAGAAGCAGACUCCCUGCCGAGCAGGGAGCCUGAUGUGGGACUCGAUCCCGAGACUCCAGGAUCAUGACCUGAGCCGAAGGCAGUCGCUUAACCAACUGAGCCACCCAGGCGCCCGAUUUAUGUGUUUAUUUUUAGGGGUGGAGAGGAAGAGAGAGAAUCCCCAGCAGACUCCCCUCCCCAACUGAGCCCAGAGGGGCCUCAAUCCCAGGACCCCAAGAUCACCACCCAAGCUGAAACCAAGAGCCAGACCAUGGAGAGAACCUUCUCAGCUAAGUGCAGGGGUCAUUUAUCCUGACACCCGAAGCACUCUCCGGGAGACACAAGCUCUACCACUCCUCCCUGCAUCUGGAAGGUAAUGAUAAUAUUCUUCACCUACCCCAGAGUCAGACGAUGGAAUGAGAAAGAAAUACUAUGACCACUAAUGUCUGGUGUUUAUUGACAACUUACUAUACAUCAGACACUGUUCUGCGUGCUACACAUACAACCCCAGUGAAGGCUUCCAGAACUCUAUGAAGAGACCAAGGACACAGAGAAGAAUUACAGAGGUCAGAAGAAGAUGAACCGGAUCGUGUUUAACAUCCAGCGUCCGUCCUGACAAGGGUCCAGUCUCACCAGAAAGGAGCGGGCAGCCUCCAGGACAUGGUGAAGAAUGUUCCCUCCUGGCUGCGUCAGGCACACAUGGCUGGCCCAAAAUGAGACCAGGAUGCAGCUCCUGGUUGAACCUGCUGGAUGUGUGCAGACACCAGGUAGAGAAGCACAGAGCUGGAGAGUGCUCCAGGGUCACGCCCAGGUUUCUCCCCUGUGGGUUCUCUACACUGGAAUCUUCUGGACUUGCAAUAGCGGAGGACAUCCUUGCCCCCACAUGGACCAGCUUCACCGCAGGGAGAGUCUCAGCCUCCUUGCCGCUCCUCCCCUGGCUCUCUGCUCCCACCUGCCCCACUACAAGCCAAAUCGCUGUGCCCAGGGAGGAAGAAACAGUCCAUCGAAACUGAUCCAGGAGGCGACUGCAGAGUCUUAAGGUCUCACCG